CUUACACACUGCGAUGUCUAUCGGGGCCGUAUUUAAAAUAUCGAAAUAUCGAUUUGUAUUUACGUGAUUUGCGCUGCAAAUGAAUGCGUCAAGACUUCGCGUGACGGCAUAAUGGCCAUGGGGCGUCCAGCGAACAUGAAAUAUUUUAGCACAUGGGUACAAACGUUCUAGCGAUUGUAUGAUUUAGUUUUGAAAAAAAGGAAUAGACGCU
Cinara cedri is the source of this 211-nucleotide non-coding RNA. The record is from the annotation of a GenBank genome assembly. Lineage: Eukaryota; Metazoa; Arthropoda; Insecta; Hemiptera; Aphididae.